RNAcentral lists this ribosomal RNA (292 nucleotides) under uncultured bacterium. Its description in RNAcentral is "partial 16S ribosomal RNA". It matches the Rfam family "Bacterial small subunit ribosomal RNA", at positions 505 to 796 of the family's 1533-position model. The record is from RNAcentral.
GUGCCAGCCGCCGCGGUAAUACGGAGGUGGCAAGCGUUACUCGGAAUUAUUGGGUGUAAAGGGCAAGUAGGUGGCUUAGUAAGUGAGAGGUGAAAUACUCCGGCUCAAUCGGAGAACUGCCUUUCAUACUGCUUUGCUUGAGGAUGGUAGGGGGUAAGGGAAUUCCCGGUGUAAGGGUGAAAUCUGUAGAUAUCGGGAAGAACACCAGCGGCGAAGGCGCUUAGCUGGACCAUUCCUGACACUGAAUUGCGAAAGCUAGGGGAGCAAACAGAAUUAGAUACCCUGGUAGUCC